RNAcentral lists this ribosomal RNA (83 nucleotides) under Bacillus stratosphericus. RNAcentral's name for it is "partial 16S ribosomal RNA". It matches the Rfam family "Bacterial small subunit ribosomal RNA", at positions 1458 to 1533 of the family's 1533-position model. The record is from RNAcentral. Lineage: Bacteria; Bacillati; Bacillota; Bacilli; Caryophanales; Bacillaceae. RNAcentral also lists the same sequence under 2 other names.
GAAGGUGGGGCAGAUGAUUGGGGUGAAGUCGUAACAAGGUAGCCGUAUCGGAAGGUGCGGCUGGAUCACCUCCUUUCUAAGGA